Aethalodelphis obliquidens (Pacific white-sided dolphin) is the source of this 437-nucleotide long non-coding RNA. RefSeq lists it as uncharacterized. The transcript is spliced from 4 exons. The record is from RefSeq and is a predicted model, not a curated record. NCBI's taxonomy places the organism in Eukaryota, Metazoa, Chordata, Mammalia, Artiodactyla, Delphinidae.
AGUUCUCUUUCAGUGGGAGCUGCCCAUACUAGAUAUUCAGUUUGGUCUUCCUCUCUUAGGAAUAGAACGGCAUCACUGGGAAUUCCCCCAGAAGCACAAGAACUAGAUAUGAAGGAUAAAACUGUCCACUGAUCCAGGUUCCUGAUAAAAUUACUAUCUGAAGCCAACAGAAGGAAUCAGAUACACUUUCAAGGAUCUUUGCCAUCAUAUAAUUCUUCAAGACUGAUGCAAUAUAUUUUAAGAAGCAUAAUUCAAAGAUCAGAAGACAGAGACAUAAGUAGCAUUGUUUUAUCUCAGGUGAAAGAAGCAGCAUGGUCAAAUGCCUUUUGGUCUGAGGAAUCACGGAAAUUGAAUGGACUGAAAGAGAGCCAGCUAUGCUGUAGAACCGACAGCAAGGAAGAGUAUGAUGCAAAAGGAGACGGAAGGAUGGAAUAAUA